UGUCUCGUGAAGGAUAGAGAGCUUGCCAAGAUUUACAGCCCUCACAUCUCGGCUCACAAAAACCCUUACGCCACUCUUUGAAGCUAUUCUGCGACUCCCUUCCCCGGUUGCCAUGGGAGACAAAGAACGAUCUCGCGACCGCGACCGUGACCGUGACCGAGACAAAGAAAGACGCCGAGACAAAGAAGAUCGUGAUCGCGACCGUGACCGAGACCGCGACCGCGACCGAGACAGAGACCGCACCCGUAGCACCCGCUCCCGCACCCGCUCACCUGACCGUACACGCUCACGACACGCCCGCUCCCCUGAGCGCCAUCGUUCUCGCUCACGCUCUCCGGAGUCUCGUUCUCAGCGCCGCCAUCGCCACCAGCGCACCCCAUCCCCAUCGCCACCCCGAAAACGUCACCGCUUUGAGACCGAAGAAGGCAGAGAUAAAGAAAGGGAAAGAGAAAGAGAGAGGGAUAGACAAAGGGCAGCUGUGUCAGAUUUCCUGGAUGGGAUCGCAAGGGAGCAGAUGGAGAGGAUUGGGAAUAACAAUACUAGUGGUGAUGGUGGUGCUGAAGGAGGAGAGGGAGAAGUAGAGGUAGAAGGAUCUUUAGUGGAUGAGGAUGAGAUUGAGAUGAUGAAGAAGUUAGGGAUUCCAAUUGGCUUCGAUUCUACCAAGGGGAAGCCAGUGCCUGGUGCGGACGUCAGUGGAGUGAGAGUGGUUACGAAGCGGCAGCCCAGGCAAUAUAUGAACCGAAGGGGAGGAUUCAAUCGGCCAUUGCCUCCAGAACGGAAUCGCUAGCUAUUUUCUUAGUCUGGCCAGAUGGAAGUAUCUUUAAGCAUAGGUGAUAUGUUGGUAACUUGAAUGGUUGAAUCACAUCAAUGGACCCAAAUGAAAGACCUUGUAAGCUGGAGUCUCCUGCAUGAUCUUGAGAUAAGUGCUAUGCCUAGGUAUUAUAAGGACUUUUUGAGACAGCCAAUUCAUUUUGUUUCUGGGUGUGGAUGCUUUUCUAGUGAGAGCAACCACAGGUAAUGGUUGGUUAUUUUGUGAGCAUGAAGAUGAGCUCUGACCCGAGGCCUCAAGAGCCAGACAAACGAGGGUUUGGCAUCUUGAUAAAGUGGCACUUUUGUGUAGUAGUUCAUAUCAUCUGAAUGAAGUUGCAUUUAAAUAAUUUAAUUUUUGACACAUGAUAUAGAAAUCUUCAGAACUGUUUCAAAAUGCAUCCAUCUUUCAGAAAGAUAGGACUGCUAAGUAAUGAAGAUAUGUUCUCACGGUUGGGGGGUAGAAUUUUAUUUAUUUAUUUAUAUAUAUUUUUUUUGAGUAGUGGGAUUUGGGGAAUAGGGACUUGAACGUUGCUUUGCUAAUUGAGUGGUAUGCCCUUAGCUGAUCAAGCCAGGCUAGGUAGUUGAGGUAGAAUUUUAGGCCAAAUGGAAUUGUAGAAAUCCUCCAUUUAAUUCCAAUGAUUUUAAAGUCGAGGUUGAAUUAUUGAUUUAA
Molecule: RNA transcript, 1480 nt
Organism: Hevea brasiliensis (rubber tree)
Lineage: Eukaryota; Viridiplantae; Streptophyta; Magnoliopsida; Malpighiales; Euphorbiaceae
Exons: 4
Source: RefSeq, a predicted model, not a curated record